GUUUGUUCCGUCAAUGCAAAUCCGGGUUCUUUGGGACUCACUGUAAUCUGACCUCUUAACUCUUACCUUCACCAUUCAAAUUCAAUAUGGUCUUGAUCCCGGAUCCCAGAUAGCACAAACCAUGUUUGUUGACAUUCACCACCUUUGUGUAUAUAUUAGCACAGCGGCUGUUGCCUAUAUAUAAAUGAGCCAUGCCUACUUUAGAGACACCAGUCAAUAAAAUGAAAUAAACGUAUCAAAUGUGGAUAAUAAUUACAGCAAAAAAUGUCAAUUAAGUAUACGCUAGGGAUACAUUUAUGAUUUUAUUGGCGAUAUGCUGACGCGGUCGCCAGGUGUUUACGGUGUUUCCUCCAAGACAUUGGUGCGGCUGGCUUCCGGGUUAAGUGGGCGUUGUGUCAAGAAGCAGUGCAGCUUGGCUGGGUUGUGUUUCAGAGGACGCACAGCUCUCGACCUUCGCCUCUCCGUAGUCCGUACGGGAGUUGCAGCGACGAGACAAGACUGUAACUACCAAUUGAAUACCACAAAGUCCCAUCUCCUAGCACCUCAGAAUUUUCCCCAUGGGCCAACUAGCAAUCUAGACCGUGUAAGUACACAUUGUUCAAGCCUGCUUAUCGCUGUGUGGAGGAGAAGCAUGAGCUGCAGUGGCUCGACGCCACCAAAUGCUUCUUCAAGGGUCCCUGUGGAUAGAGAGCCAUCGCACUGGACCACCUGCCACACAAACACUGCAGUAACUGUGUCCUGUUCAAAUGGGAAAGAGACGGCAUGUUGAAGGAGAAGUCGGGGCCUAAGAUAGCUGGGGAGCUGCUGAAGCCUCGAGGUGACGAGCAGCCCAAGUUCCUCAACGGCAUGCUGUAGUCCUCAGUCACUUACAGUCACCUUCAUCAUUGUCUUCAUCAUAGGAAGCGACUGCUGCUGGUGCUAUUGGACUUUCUGGUGUAUAUUUCUCUACAUGUUGUAGAGUGCUUUUUAAAUCUCCUUUUAUUGUUUUUGUUUUUUUACUGUGGAUAUAAUUUGAAGCUGAUUAUGGAUUUUAAAUUGCUGUGUUUUGAAUGGAUUCAAUUGUAUUUCCGAAUGAGUUGUUUGUUGUUCCCUCCUGCUGGCUUUGAUGGGAAUGUGCUGAUUAA
This is a long non-coding RNA of Oncorhynchus keta (chum salmon), 1124 nucleotides long. RefSeq lists it as uncharacterized. Lineage: Eukaryota; Metazoa; Chordata; Actinopteri; Salmoniformes; Salmonidae. The transcript has 4 exons. The record is from RefSeq and is a predicted model, not a curated record.